Small nuclear RNA from Phyllostomus discolor (pale spear-nosed bat), 106 nucleotides. The record is from RefSeq and is a predicted model, not a curated record. NCBI's taxonomy places the organism in Eukaryota, Metazoa, Chordata, Mammalia, Chiroptera, Phyllostomidae.
CUAAACUACUAAAAUUACAUAUACUAAAAUUGGAACGAUACAGAGAAGAUUAGCAUGGCCCCUGAGCAAGGAUGACACGCAAAUUCGUGAAGCGUUAGGGUUAGGG